Molecule: ribosomal RNA, 440 nt
Filed under: uncultured bacterium
Lineage: Bacteria
Description: bacterial SSU rRNA
Rfam family: Bacterial small subunit ribosomal RNA
Source: RNAcentral
CCUACGGGUGGCAGCAGUGGGGAAUAUUGCACAAUGGGGGAAACCCUGAUGCAGCGACGCCGCGUGAGUGAAGAAGUAUUUCGGUAUGUAAAGCUCUAUCAGCAGGGAAGAAAAUGACGGUACCUGACUAAGAAGCCCCGGCUAACUACGUGCCAGCAGCCGCGGUAAUACGUAGGGGGCAAGCGUUAUCCGGAUUUACUGGGUGUAAAGGGAGCGUAGACGGCUGAGCAAGUCUGAAGUGAAAGGCGGGGGCCCAACCCCCGGACUGCUUUGGAAACUGUAUAGCUAGAGUGCAGGAGAGGUAAGUGGAAUUCCUAGUGUAGCGGUGAAAUGCGUAGAUAUUAGGAGGAACACCAGUGGCGAAGGCGGCUUACUGGACUGUAACUGACGUUGAGGCUCGAAAGCGUGGGGAGCAAACAGGAUUAGAUACCCUGGUAGUC